CUACUUACCCGGCAGGGGAGAUACCAUGAUCAUGAAGGUGGUUUUCCCAGGGCGAGGCUUAUCCAUUGCACUCCGGAUGUGCUGACCCCUGAGAUUUCCCCAAAUGUGGGAAACUCGACUGCAUAAUUUGUGGUAGUGGGGGACUGUGUUCGCGCUCUCCCCUG
RNAcentral lists this small nuclear RNA (164 nucleotides) under Echinops telfairi (small Madagascar hedgehog). RNAcentral describes it as "U1 spliceosomal RNA (ENSETEG00000023286.1)". It matches the Rfam family "U1 spliceosomal RNA". Rfam says of the family: U1 is a small nuclear RNA (snRNA) component of the spliceosome (involved in pre-mRNA splicing). Its 5' end forms complementary base pairs with the 5' splice junction, thus defining the 5' donor site of an intron. The record is from RNAcentral. Lineage: Eukaryota; Metazoa; Chordata; Mammalia; Afrosoricida; Tenrecidae.